UAGAGUUUGAUCCUGGCUCAGAUUGAACGCUGGCGGCAGGCCUAACACAUGCAAGUCGAACGGUAACAGGAAGAAGCUUGCUUCUUUGCUGACGAGUGGCGGACGGGUGAGUAAUGUCUGGGAAACUGCCUGAUGGAGGGGGAUAACUACUGGAAACGGUAGCUAAUACCACAUAACGUCGCAAGACCAAAGAGGGGGACCUUCGGGCCUCUUGCCAUCGGAUGUGCCCAGAUGGGAUUAGCUAGUAGGUGGGGUAACGGCUCACCUAGGCGACGAUCCCUAGCUGGUCUGAGAGGAUGACCAGCCACACUGGAACUGAGACACGGUCCAGACUCCUACGGGAGGCAGCAGUGGGGAAUAUUGCACAAUGGGCGCAAGCCUGAUGCAGCCAUGCCGCGUGUAUGAAGAAGGCCUUCGGGUUGUAAAGUACUUUCAGCGGGGAGGAAGGGAGUAAAGUUAAUACCUUUGCUCAUUGACGUUACCCGCAGAAGAAGCACCGGCUAACUCCGUGCCAGCAGCCGCGGUAAU
RNAcentral lists this ribosomal RNA (528 nucleotides) under uncultured Gammaproteobacteria bacterium. RNAcentral describes it as "bacterial SSU rRNA". It matches the Rfam family "Bacterial small subunit ribosomal RNA", at positions 1 to 524 of the family's 1533-position model. Lineage: Bacteria; Pseudomonadati; Pseudomonadota; Gammaproteobacteria. The record is from RNAcentral.